This 2797-nucleotide long non-coding RNA is filed under the name Brachypodium distachyon (stiff brome). RNAcentral describes it as "long non-coding RNA (BDIS_LNC003394)". Lineage: Eukaryota; Viridiplantae; Streptophyta; Magnoliopsida; Poales; Poaceae. The record is from RNAcentral.
AGCGGCGGCUGACGGGGAGCCCGGCGGUGGACUUGAGGCCCCGGAAAGGAGCAACAGCGGUAGCCGCCGCCGACAUCACUGUCGGACCCAUAGCAUCCACCCUUGUAUCACUAGAGUAUAUCUACUUAGCUAAUAUGCUAAGUUUGGCACGGAGAGAGGAGGUCGAGUGGACUUCAUUCCUGGUCACAAGGGUUUAUAUAUACCAUAUAACAUACGAGCAAUUUGUGAUUAAUUUGUUGUCGUUCUAGGAGAUGUGGAAAGGGUGGAUGCCGUUCGUUGGUUGCCUUAUCCGUUCUAGAGAAGGGAUGGAUGACCGACGCUCGCUCAGCCGUCUCCUUCGUCCAUCGUUGCCAAUCUUUCUAGCUAUAAUUGGAAGUUCCAAAGGAACAUACGGUUUCAUGCCUACUUCCAUCGGCCUAUCAUGUACCAAUCCAAUAAAAGGACAUCGUUCAACCAUCAAUCCAUGUGUGUGUAGUAAGUGAUUGGCUACGAACCUUCAGCUGACUUGCUUUAUUGGAUAUUUCUGUAAAGCGAGUCCACGGUGUGUGGGUUUAAAAUCUCGUGGCGGCAACUGUUGACGGGUGCAAAUAUCAGUAGCCUUAAAACAAUAAACUUUACUCCGUCCCUUCCGAAAUGCAAGAAUGUCCUAAGUCAAACUUCUUAUGCUGCAGGACCAUAGUUUUUGAGGUGUUCUUCUCACGAGUCCACGAAGAACGGGAAUUUUUUGGUGUCGGGUAAGGGCGGGGGAAUAUAUAGAUGCUAGCAUCAGCAUGACGGGCUAACGGGUCAGGUAGGAUUUUGGACGACGUAGCACCUGACAUGUGGGGGCCACAUGUAAGAAAACCUGUCAAAAUGUCAUAACCCUCUGUUUUGGUCAACUUGAUACAAUCUGAUACAAAACGUGUGGUUUUCCUGACAAAUUAGCAAAUUUUGUGUCUCUGUGAGAAGCACGCCCCAAAAACUGUGGUUCCGUGAAAUUUAUUCACUAGUUACACUUUAUCUACAAACAUCUACGAUUCUAAAAUAGUUUGGUAUAUAUUUUCCGUAAUAUAAUUAUUUGAUAUUCUAAAUUCGGGGAUUUGUUCUUAUAAACUUGGUCGAAGUUUAAAAAGUUUGACUUCGGACAAAGUUACGACUUUUUACAUUUAGGAAUGAAGGGAAUACAUUUUAGUAAAGCAAUUGAGGAAUUGACAGAAUUAAAUAUCUUAAAUUAUACUGGUCCAUCGUGUACUCAUGGCAACAAAAUAAAUUUAUAGUCGAAAAGUUGGACCAUGAAAACUUAAAACGUGAUACAUUAAAAUUGUUGAAUCACUCUACAUCUUGUAAUUUUCUCUUGCAACCUUCUGGCGCGCUACUCAUUCCACAUUUGGUACUAUAUGUAUAAAUGUAUAUAUAUACCGCAUUAGGAGCCUCUAUUACUGUUUUAGUAUAAAUAGCAGUUUCCAUCGACUAUGCACUUCAUUAACUUUUUCUUCACGAGAUAACUUGCUUAUCGAUUUUCUUUAAUUAUCCAGAUGGCUUCUACUAGUUUGUUUCCUUGCUUACUGGGAUUUCCGCAGACUUUACGGUUAGGUAUUAUUGUCGUGUGGACAACACGGUGGCCGGAUGUUGAGAUGAUGAUGUCCUUUAUCUCCGUGUUGCUUCUGAGGACUGCGGAUCCGAGGCUAGUGGCGGUAUGGGAUGCCUCUCUACCUCUUGAUCAGGUCAAUCCGGCUCAGCAAGAGGCGGAUCGAUGGUGGCCGGUGUGACUAGAAGCGGGGAGGUAUAUAUGAAACGUUUCUUGCUUCCAGCAUCUCUUCUAGCGGUAUAUAUGUCGUCAGCUGGUUGAGGGAUUGAUGGCAAUCGAUCAUGGCUACGAUGACAUGUAUACGCGCCGGUAGGAACACAUAUCAGGCAAUGUCGAUGCACCUGCAUUGGGCCCUUGCUGAAGGUGGUGGUGCGUAUGGCAGUCUAAAGAUUUAAGACACAAAUUUAGACUUAAAACUUAAAUAAUCAAUUUGUGCCAGCGGGAAACACACAAACACGUACCGGUAAAUUAUCAUAAUCAGAAUUUGUCGACGAAUUUGAUAUUCUUUUACAAAAUAUACUUAUCUUAAUAUGUAUAACCGGAGUUUAUAUUACAUGCCCCUCUCCCAACGAUAGUUGUAGUACUCUUAUAAUAGUAGUACUCAUGAAUACAGUUAAUCCGGGUUGUUGGGAGAGAUCACAUGCAUAAAUACAACAUGAAACAAACGUGUGAAAAAGGUACAUAAAAUCGGUGUGACCCGUUCUUGUAUUAUAAGAAAUCAACUUGCUUAGGCCUUGCCGGACUCCUCACAACCCGGUGGCUUGAAGGCGAUGAAGCUGAUGCACUGCACUUGCCUGGUGUUGUCGAAGCCGAUGAUGCGGACAUAGGCGUCAGGGUACUCCUUCUUCACCUCCUCCAGCUCCUUUAGCACCUGCGUGGCGUCGGUGCACCCGAACAUGGGAAGCUUCCACAUUGUCCAGUACCUGCCGUCGUAGUACCCGGGAGAGUUGCCGUGCUCACGGAAGACGAAACCGACCUUGCUGAACUCGAGGCAAGGAACCCACUUGGAGCGGAUGAGAUACUCGAUCUGCUUCAAGAGGGACUCCACGGUGAGAGGCGGCAGGUAGGAAAGGGUUUCGAACUUCUUGAUGCCCUCAAUUGGCCACACCUACAAUUAGAUUAAUAAUUAGCACCGAAAGUAUAAUUUGAGACACAUAUCAGUAUUUCACUUCAACAUAUGUACAUGAUGACAUACAUACCUGCAUGCACCUGAUCCUUCCACCGUUGGAG